UCAUUACAACGNGUUAUGAUGUACCCGGGAGUUCCGAUGGAUAUUUCCAGNUAACACUAGAACUAAUACAUGCUCCUGCGUUUAUUANUUUCGCACAGUCCGUCGCUGANUCNUGGUAAACAGUUGAUCGGCUCGACGUCCCGGAACANUUUCCGCCCCAUCANCUUCNAUGGUUGGGUAUUGGCCUACCAUUGCAACAACGGGUAACGAGGAAUUAGGGUUUGAUUUCAGAGAGGGAGCCUGAGAAACGGCUACCACAUCUACGGAUGGCAGCNGGCGCGCNAAUUACCCNNAUGCANACUCUGUGAGGUAGUGACGAGAAAUAAUAAAGCGGGACUUCUGUUUCGCUAUUAUAAUGAGGAAUAACCANAGGUCAUUCCGAUUANCAACUGAUGGGAAAGUCUGGUGCCAGCAGCCNCGGUAAUACCAGCGUCAGUAGCAUAUAUUAAAAUUGUUGCAGUUAAAACGUCCGUAGUCUGUACGUCGUCCCAAACUCNCUGCNGUCUUCCGUUUUCUUCAUUGAAUGCNGUAGUUUCUGCAGUCACUCCCUUGAUCAAAUUAGGUUGUUCAAGGUAGACCAAGUCUUCAUAUUUUCACAUGNAAUUGGNUGAGGGAACUUAAGANUUUAAGUUUCUCGNCUUANGAUCAUCCGG
Molecule: ribosomal RNA, 653 nt
Filed under: uncultured alveolate
Lineage: Eukaryota
Description: partial 18S ribosomal RNA
Rfam family: Eukaryotic small subunit ribosomal RNA
Source: RNAcentral